UAAUAAGUGUUUUAUGACACUUUUUAAAUCCAUAUCCACCUUGUGUGCAAUGUCAGUCGAUCUUCUUCAUGGAGAUCGACCAAACAUCAACCUUUAUCUUUUAACUCUUUGUCUGAAAAAUAUUAUGAAUAAACAAUUCAAAAUA
Molecule: unclassified non-coding RNA, 145 nt
Filed under: soil metagenome
Description: partial internal transcribed spacer 1
Source: RNAcentral